This 482-nucleotide ribosomal RNA is filed under the name uncultured bacterium. RNAcentral describes it as "partial 16S ribosomal RNA". It matches the Rfam family "Bacterial small subunit ribosomal RNA", at positions 30 to 507 of the family's 1533-position model. The record is from RNAcentral.
AUUGAACGCUGGCGGCAUGCUUUACACAUGCAAGUCGAACGGUAACAGGCCGCAAGGUGCUGACGAGUGGCGAACGGGUGAGUAAUGCAUCGGAAUGUGCCCAGUCGUGGGGGAUAACUACUCGAAAGAGUAGCUAAUACCGCAUACGAUCUAUGGAUGAAAGCGGGGGACCGUAAGGCCUCGCGCGAUUGGAGCGGCCGAUGUCAGAUUAGGUAGUUGGUGGGGUAAAGGCUCACCAAGCCAACGAUCUGUAGCUGGUCUGAGAGGACGACCAGCCACACUGGGACUGAGACACGGCCCAGACUCCUACGGGAGGCAGCAGUGGGGAAUUUUGGACAAUGGGCGCAAGCCUGAUCCAGCAAUGCCGCGUGCAGGAAGAAGGCCUUCGGGUUGUAAACUGCUUUUGUACGGAACGAAACGGCUCUGGUUAAUACCCGGGGCUAAUGACGGUACCGUAAGAAUAAGCACCGGCUAACUACGUG